CUCCUCCUCCUCGGAAUCCGGGAAUGGAGGGGUGGGGGUGAGUCCACCUCCCAACCUGCCUGCUUCUCCCGGAAGUGGAGCUUCUGUGCCGGAUUGCUGCUCUGCGCCGUAGCUCUAGGGGCGCGCGCUUUCGGAAAGGGGAGGAGGGGCGGCAGGGGAGGACACCCCCCCCCCCUGGAAAUUGCAGAAUCUGGAGCGAGGAGAAAGAGGCAGUGUCAGAGUGAUUGACAAGCUGAGAUACAAUCCUUCAGCAUCUGAUGAUAGCAAUUGCAGGAAUCUUCCCAGUCAAAGGACCCAUUUUCAUGCUAUACAGUGCCUGUGGCUGGAGGCUCUACAUGCAAGGUGUGCCUAUACAGGCCAGUAUUAGCACAGGGUGUGCCUUCACCUGCAGCAGAAUUCCUGAACCCACCAAGGAUUUGAGACCCAUCAGGUAUCCUCACCUGGUCUAGCCGGCCGGUUGAAGUCGUUCCUGAGAUUGCGGCCCAUUUUGCAUGCUGACAGCUUCUGGAAGCCACAGGAUUUCCUUUCCUCCCACUUUGAAGAAGGUGAUGGAGAAGACAUUCAGAAUUCUAAGGGAUGGUACACUUUAUUUCAUUAGGUAGAGACAUUAAAAUGUGUGAGAUGUGGAAUAUGCUUCACUGAAUGAGCACACAUAGCUCACAUCAGCGAUCUCAAGAAGGGGAGAAACCAUUUAAAGGUAUGGAGAGUGAGAAAA
This is a non-coding RNA of Podarcis muralis (Common wall lizard), 715 nucleotides long. The record is from RefSeq and is a predicted model, not a curated record. Lineage: Eukaryota; Metazoa; Chordata; Lepidosauria; Squamata; Lacertidae.